This 1290-nucleotide ribosomal RNA is filed under the name human gut metagenome. Its description in RNAcentral is "bacterial LSU rRNA". It matches the Rfam family "Bacterial large subunit ribosomal RNA", at positions 689 to 1977 of the family's 2925-position model. The record is from RNAcentral.
AGGGCGCACAGUCAGUGGGGGUAGACGCGAAACCAAGUGAUCUACACUUGGCCAGGAUGAAGUCCCGGUAACACGGGAUGGAGGUCCGCACCAAUAAGCGUUGAAAAGCUUCUGGAUGAGCCGAGUGUAGGAGUGAAAGGCCAAUCAAACUUGGAGAUAGCUCGUACUCCCCGAAAGGCAUUUAGGUGCCGCGUCGGAUGGUCACCGUGAGAGGUAGAGCGACCGAUAGGACAAGAGGGCUUCACCGCCUAUCGAGUCCUGACGAACUCCGAAUGCUCACGGUCUGCAGUCCGGCAGUAAGGGGGCGGGUGCUAAGGUCCGUCCCCGAGAGGAGAAGAAUCCAGACCGCCGUCUAAGGUCCCGGAGUUCUGCCUGAGUUAGUCUAACGAAGUCUGGUCCCUAUGACAGCUAGGAUGUUGGCUUGGAAGCAGCCAUUCAUUCAAAGAGUGCGUAACAGCUCACUAGUCGAGGGUCCGGGCAUGGAUAAUAAUCGGGUAUAAGGCAGACACCGAAGGCGCGGGAUAGCAAUAUUAAAAGUAUCGGUAGGGGAGCAUACUCACAGCGUCGAAUGGUGUACGUAAGUUAUCCUGGAGCGGUGAGUAAAGCAAAUGUAGGAAUAAGUAACGAUAAGGAGGGUUAGAUUCCCUCCCGCUGUAAGACCAAGGUUUCCCGGGCAAUGCCAAUCAGCCCGGGGUCAGUCGGGUCCUAAGUCUAAGCCGAACGGCGAUGGCGAUGGCAGAGACGGUUAAUAUUCCGUCACUGCCGCAUGGGGCGAUGUGGAGACGGAGCAGUGAAACCACCGCGGGGCGACGGAAGUCCCCGUUGAAGAGUGUAGGUGUUGAGGAUGGCAGGCAAAUCCACCAUCCGAGCUGAACUUGAGAGUACGGAGUCCUCUUCGGAGGAAUCUGAUAGUGUGGGUAAUCAUACUCCCGAGAAAAUCCGCUAAGCUUAACCCAUGCGGCACCCGUACCGCAAACGGACACACGUGGUCGGGUAGAACAUACUAAGGCGUUGAGAGAUUCAUGGUUAAGGAACUAGGCAAAUUGACCCUGUAACUUCGGGAUAAAGGGUCCUCGUGAUGAGCGAGGCGCAGAGAAUAGGUCCAGGCAACUGUUUAACAAAAACACAGGGCUGUGCAAACUCGAAAGAUGACGUAUACAGCCUGACACCUGCCCGGUGCCGGAAGGUUAAGAGGAGAUGUCACUCGCAAGAGGAAGCAUUGAAUUGAAGCCCCGGUAAACGGCGGCCGUAACUAUAACGGUCCUAAGGUAGCGAAAUUCCUUGUCGGGU